UCCGGUUUGUCACCGGCAGUCUCCCUAGAGUUCCCAUCCGAAAUGCUGGCAACUAGGGACAAGGGUUGCGCUCGUUGCGGGACUUAACCCAACAUCUCACGACACGAGCUGACGACAGCCAUGCAGCACCUGUAUCCCGGUUCCCGAAGGCACCAAUCCAUCUCUGGAAAGUUCCGAGUAUGUCAAGGGCAGGUAAGGUUCUUCGCGUUGCAUCGAAUUAAACCACAUGCUCCACCGCUUGUGCGGGUCCCCGUCAAUUCCUUUGAGUUUUACCGUUGCCGGCGUACUCCCCAGGCGGAGAACUUAACGCGUUAGCUGCGACACCGAGAGGCAACCCUCCCAACAUCUAGUUCUCAUCGUUUACAGCGUGGACUAC
Molecule: unclassified non-coding RNA, 376 nt
Filed under: uncultured Gammaproteobacteria bacterium
Lineage: Bacteria; Pseudomonadati; Pseudomonadota; Gammaproteobacteria
Description: contains 16S-23S intergenic spacer region
Source: RNAcentral